GAGGUGACGUUGUUUGCUGACACUAUUACAGUUCAACAAUUGGGAGUGAUGAUUUGGCAUACCAGAAAGGUCCUUUAGAGAGCUGAUCAUUCUUCCAAUCGAUUGCAAGCAGAUCAUUCCACUUAUUCUGCAGGAGUCUGAAUCUUCUUCGAACACAAGAGGUGAUGAGCUUCUUUCAGACUCCUUCCCCUACAAGGAACUCUUGAAUGGGAUCCUAUGAGAAGUUGAAGGAAAGAAUCUGAUCAAAUUGGGCCAUAAUCUGAAGAAAUGUGUUUAAGCUACGACAAGGUAUGAUAAAAAAAUAUAAAAGCUGCUCUUCCUGUCUUUUGUU
Helianthus annuus (common sunflower) is the source of this 331-nucleotide long non-coding RNA. RefSeq lists it as uncharacterized. The transcript is spliced from 7 exons. Lineage: Eukaryota; Viridiplantae; Streptophyta; Magnoliopsida; Asterales; Asteraceae. The record is from RefSeq and is a predicted model, not a curated record.